RNAcentral lists this long non-coding RNA (652 nucleotides) under Oryzias javanicus (javanese ricefish). RNAcentral describes it as "lncRNA (ENSOJAG00000008916.1)". The record is from RNAcentral. Lineage: Eukaryota; Metazoa; Chordata; Actinopteri; Beloniformes; Adrianichthyidae.
ACGAUUUUCGCGCAUGCGCACAUCUGGACCGUGAUUCAUGUUGGUGUUGAGUCUGCGUCAUGUAUUGCUUUUAUUUUACCAUCUUAUAUCUGCAUAAUGUUCCUUCUGAAAGAGGCUUUAUGGAGCCGAACUACCAGAAAGGGGGAGGAGCCUCAUCUCGAGGCUGGAGUAUCUACGUGAUUCGCAGUGUCCAGUCAUGCAGAUAAGUCGAUCCUUGGAGGACAAGCACGUGAAGAGCUGCAGCUGGUGAAGCGAGUUGGGACAAUAGCAACAACAAAGUCGCCACAGCUGACCAAACCAUCAGCUACUAAAGAAGAGCUCAUAGAGGAGUACGCAGAGGUCUUCACGGGUUUGGGUGAGUUUCCUGGAGUUCACCACUUACACAUAAACCCAAACGUCACACCUGUGAUUCAUGCGUGCAGUAACCUGCCACUUUGCAUAAUGGAGCUGCUAAAAAAGACACUGAAAGAUUUACAAGACAGAAACGUGAUAAUGCCAGUCAACGAGCCCACAGAUUGGGUUAAUAAUCUUGUUGCGACGCAGAAAAAGAACGGAACACUAAGGGUGUGUUUGGACCCUUGUGUACGGUGGCCGGGAAGUGCAAAACAAUAAUACAUUUCGACCGAAACACAUUAAACACAUUUACAUUUCG